AUUGAACGCUGGCGGCAGGCCUAACACAUGCAAGUCGACCGAGUGGCGGACGGGUGAGUAAUGUCUGGGAAACUGCCUGAUGGAGGGGGAUAACUACUGGAAAAGGUAGCUAAUACCGCAUACCAUCGGAUGAUCCCAGAUGGGAUUAGCAAGUCGGUGGGGUAAAGGCUCACCUAGGCGACGAUCCCUAGCUGGUCUGAGAGGAUGACCAGCCACACGGGAACUGAGACCCGGUCCAGACACCUACGGGAGGCAGCAGUGGGGAAUAUUGCACAAUGGGCGCAAGCCUGAUGCAGCCAUGCAGCUUGUAUGAAGAAGGCCUUCGGGUUGUAAAGUACUUUCAGCGGGGAGGCGUUACCCGCAGAAGAGGCACCGGCUAACUCCGUGCCAGCAGCCGCGGUAAUAC
Molecule: ribosomal RNA, 406 nt
Filed under: uncultured bacterium
Lineage: Bacteria
Description: partial 16S ribosomal RNA
Rfam family: Bacterial small subunit ribosomal RNA
Source: RNAcentral